Molecule: ribosomal RNA, 662 nt
Filed under: uncultured Cyanobacterium sp.
Lineage: Bacteria; Bacillati; Cyanobacteriota; Cyanophyceae; Chroococcales; Geminocystaceae
Description: bacterial SSU rRNA
Rfam family: Bacterial small subunit ribosomal RNA
Source: RNAcentral
CGGACGGGUGAGUAACGCGUGAGAAUUUGCCCUCAGGAGGGGGAUAACGGCUGGAAACGGGCGCUAAUACCCCAUAUGCCGCGAGGUGAAAUGAAUUUCGCCUGAGGAUGAGCUCGCGUCUGAUUAGCUAGUUGGUGGGGUAAAGGCCUACCAAGGCGACGAUCACUAACUGGUCUGAGAGGAUGAUCAGCCACACUGGCACUGAGACACGGCCCAGACUCCUACGGGAGGCAGCAGUGGGGAAUUUUCCGCAAUGGGCGAAAGCCUGACGGACCAACGCCGCGUGAGGUAUGAAGGCCUCUGGGCUGUAAACCUCUUUUCUCAAGGAAGAAGAUCUGACGGUACUUGAGGAAUAAGCCACGGCUAAUUCCGUGCCAGCAGCCGCGGUAAUACGGGAGUGGCAAGCGUUAUCCGGAAUUAUUGGGCGUAAAGCGUCCGCAGGCGGCCCUGUAAGUCUGUCGUUAAAGCGUGGAGCUUAACUCCAUUUCAGCGAUGGAAACUACAGGGCUUGAGUGUGGUAGGGGCAGAGGGAAUUCCCGGUGUAGCGGUGAAAUGCGUAGAUAUCGGGAAGAACACCAGUGGCGAAGGCGCUCUGCUGGGGCAUAACUGACGCUCAUGGACGAAAGCCAGGGGAGCGAAAGGGAUUAGAUACCCCUGUAGUC